GAUGAACGCUGGCGGCGUGCUUAACACAUGCAAGUCGAACGGGAAACCUUUUAUUGAAGCUUCGGCAGAUUUAGCUGGUUUCUAGUGGCGGACGGGUGAGUAACGCGUGGGUAACCUGCCUUAUACAGGGGGAUAACAGUCAGAAAUGGCUGCUAAUACCGCAUAAGCGCACAGAGCUGCAUGGCUCAGUGUGAACAACUCCGGUGGUAUAAGAUGGACCCGCGUUGGAUUAGCUGGUUGGUGGGGUAACGGCCCACCAAGGCGACGAUCCAUAGCCGGCCUGAGAGGGUGAACGGCCACAUUGGGGCUGAGACACGGCCCAGACUCCUACGGGAGGCAGCAGUGGGGAAUAUUGCACAAUGGGGGAAACCCUGAUGCAGCGACGCCGUGUGAAGGAAGAAGUAUCUCGGUAUGUAAACUUCUAUCAGCAGGGAAGAUAAUGACGGUACCUGACUAAGAAGCCCCGGCUAACUACGUG
This 478-nucleotide ribosomal RNA is filed under the name uncultured bacterium. RNAcentral's name for it is "partial 16S ribosomal RNA". It matches the Rfam family "Bacterial small subunit ribosomal RNA", at positions 28 to 507 of the family's 1533-position model. The record is from RNAcentral.